This 66-nucleotide transfer RNA is filed under the name Pangshura tentoria. RNAcentral describes it as "tRNA-Cys". Lineage: Eukaryota; Metazoa; Chordata; Testudines; Geoemydidae. The record is from RNAcentral.
AACCUUGUAGUGAAGUUCACGCCAAAUUGCAAGUUUGGAGAUUUACCUUUGUUGGUGCCGGGGUUU